GUCCGAUAUCAACCAGCUGCGGGACAAAAUCUGAUGUCCAAUCCUUUCAAUCAGCAUCGCUUGGUCGUUGAUUAUUUGAAGGACGAUGUCGAGUUAGCCUAUUUUUGAACACGCGAUUCCAACUUGAGCGAAAGUUUGCCAGUCCUUUUCUCUAGUGCCAAACUACGGCGAAAAUCGUGGAAUAUCUGUUGGGCACUAGUUGCCCAGGUGGCCCUCCACCGCACGUGAUUACCCCUAUAUAGUUAGCUAGCGACCACAACAAUAACAAGAUCAACCAUCCCACAGGUUAUGGCCUGGAUAGCAGAUUUUUAAUAAAAACAGAUGUUUUAAUUAGAAUACACUGCAACUGAUGUUAUAUUGGAUGAGUUAGACAUUAUUCCUCUGAAAAGAGAGCUCUUUGUCUAUAAAAGUGGUAUAAUUGACAGAAUUACUGUUGAGACUGCUGCAG
RNAcentral lists this small RNA (448 nucleotides) under Histoplasma capsulatum. RNAcentral describes it as "hypothetical RNA". The record is from RNAcentral. RNAcentral also lists the same sequence under 1 other name. Lineage: Eukaryota; Fungi; Ascomycota; Eurotiomycetes; Onygenales; Ajellomycetaceae.